This 497-nucleotide ribosomal RNA is filed under the name uncultured bacterium. RNAcentral's name for it is "partial 16S ribosomal RNA". It matches the Rfam family "Bacterial small subunit ribosomal RNA", at positions 28 to 507 of the family's 1533-position model. The record is from RNAcentral.
GACGAACGCUGGCGGCGUGCCUAAUACAUGCAAGUUGAGCGCUGAAGGUUGGUACUUGUACCGACUGGAUGAGCAGCGAACGGGUGAGUAACGCGUGGGGAAUCUGCCUUUGAGCGGGGGACAACAUUUGGAAACGAAUGCUAAUACCGCAUAAAAACUUUAAACACAAGUUUUAAGUUUGAAAGAUGCAAUUGCAUCACUCAAAGAUGAUCCCGCGUUGUAUUAGCUAGUUGGUGAGGUAAAGGCUCACCAAGGCGAUGAUACAUAGCCGACCUGAGAGGGUGAUCGGCCACAUUGGGACUGAGACACGGCCCAAACUCCUACGGGAGGCAGCAGUAGGGAAUCUUCGGCAAUGGACGAAAGUCUGACCGAGCAACGCCGCGUGAGUGAAGAAGGUUUUCGGAUCGUAAAACUCGGUUGGUGGAGAAGAACGUUGGUGAGAGUGGAAAGCUCAUCAAGUGACGGUAACUACCCAGAAAGGGACGGCUAACUACGUG